This 253-nucleotide ribosomal RNA is filed under the name uncultured bacterium. RNAcentral describes it as "partial 16S ribosomal RNA". It matches the Rfam family "Bacterial small subunit ribosomal RNA", at positions 524 to 776 of the family's 1533-position model. The record is from RNAcentral.
UACGGGGGGGGUAAGCGUUGUUCGGAAUUACUGGGCGUAAAGGGCUCGUAGGCGGCCAACUAAGUCAGACGUGAAAUCCCUCAGCUUAACUGGGGAACUGCGUCUGAUACUGGAUGGCUUGAGUUCGGGAGAGGGAUGCGGAAUUCCAGGUGUAGCGGUGAAAUGCGUAGAUAUCUGGAGGAACACCGGUGGCGAAGGCGGCAUCCUGGACCGAUACUGACGCUGAGGAGCGAAAGCCAGGGGAGCAAACGGG